Molecule: ribosomal RNA, 483 nt
Filed under: uncultured bacterium
Lineage: Bacteria
Description: bacterial SSU rRNA
Rfam family: Bacterial small subunit ribosomal RNA
Source: RNAcentral
CUACGUGCCAGCAGCCGCGGUAAUACGGAAGGUCCAGGCGUUAUCCGGAUUUAUUGGGUUUAAAGGGAGCGUAGGCGGACGAUUAAGUCAGCUGUGAAAGUUUGCGGCUCAACCGUAAAAUUGCAGUUGAAACUGGUUGUCUUGAGUGCACGCAGGGAUGUUGGAAUUCAUGGUGUAGCGGUGAAAUGCUUAGAUAUCAUGAAGAACUCCGAUCGCGAAGGCAUAUGUCCGGAGUGCAACUGACGCUGAGGCUCGAAAGUGCGGGUAUCGAACAGGAUUAGAUACCCUGGUAGUCCGCACAGUAAACGAUGAAUACUCGCAGUAUGCGAUAUAAUGUAUGCUGCCAAGUGAAAGCGUUAAGUAUUCCACCUGGGGAGUACGCCGGCAACGGUGAAACUCAAAGGAAUUGACGGGGGCCCGCACAAGCGGAGGAACAUGUGGUUUAAUUCGAUGAUACGCGAGGAACCUUACCCGGGCUUGAAC